RNAcentral lists this long non-coding RNA (222 nucleotides) under Physcomitrium patens. RNAcentral describes it as "long non-coding RNA (PPAT_LNC012292)". Lineage: Eukaryota; Viridiplantae; Streptophyta; Bryopsida; Funariales; Funariaceae. The record is from RNAcentral.
AGAGACACUGUAUAAUUAGGAGUGGGGCUAUAUAGAAUAAGUAGUUAUUUUCAAAAUGUAGAUAUCUAGUGUAUAGUGUAAACAGGAAUAGAUACUGCUGAAAAGAUGGUUCAACAAGUAGAAUGGAUGAAUAGUCAAAAAAAAUAGUUAUCAUCUAUAGUAUAGGAGUUGGUAUCUCGGGGUAGUAUAAGGAGGAUGGGAGAGAGGAAGAAAAGGCUACAC